AGGGGGGGGGGUGUAAAAAUGGUGUUGCCAUGUUUUUUUUUUCUUUCUGCGCAAAGCAAGGACAAAAGAACUGUUGAGUUUAUUCUCAGAUAAAAAAAGGAAGUUUCACCGUGUCAACAGAGGCACAAUGUCCUGCGCCAUUCUAGUGACUGAUCUUACAGUUGGCAGGAUCGCGGCUGCAGGCUCUUCAGCCGGGCUAUAUCACUGAGACUUCUUUUAUCCCCUCGCAGUGACCUCUUCCUGUUCUACAAAAGGAUGAGUGUGACAGGGUUCUUGCUCUGCGUACAGGAACAGAGGGAAGAGCUCAGCAUGGGUCUUCCUACCUUUCUCCAGGAACUGCCCAGCAGCCCCGAGCACUUUUCAGAUGUUCAAUUAUUCACCAGGUUUAAUCCAUCGAUGAAGCAGGGUCUCUUGACAACAGCCCAGGUCCUUCAUGCAUGUGUGUUUAUGAGGAGACAUUGUUAACUACACGGCUCUCCUACUAGCUGGUCAAGGACCUCAGCCACUUCAGCUUAUCUCAUUGGCUUCCUAAUCAGACUUACUGGUUAGUUGUCAGAUUUUUCAUCUCAAGAAAUAAAUACUGGGAAAUAAGGAAGUGUGAAGAGAUUGCAGAGGAACAUCAAACCCAGGCUGCCCUCAUCCAUGUCACCGCCGCUCCAC
Molecule: long non-coding RNA, 660 nt
Organism: Clupea harengus (Atlantic herring)
Lineage: Eukaryota; Metazoa; Chordata; Actinopteri; Clupeiformes; Clupeidae
Source: Ensembl